CCUCGCCCAAGCCUGCUUCCCGCGCCGUCUUAUCUGCGUUUGGACUGGGAGCUGCUUCUUGCCUUUCCUGCUUCCUGGACCUCUCUGGAGCGUUGGCUGGGGAGCCGCAGCCACAGCCUUGACCCAGGGCCUCCGAAGCCGCGGCUUAAACGGAGGUUGCACCAUCACCGGCUGCGGGGCCGGGCGUGCUGGGCCUCACCGUUCCCGGUGCGGGUCUGAAGCUCCUUCUUCCUCCAUGAACACAGUGAGCCCGUGGCCUGCCCGUCAGAGCCGCCCUCUCUAGGGGUCCCCACGCCAGAGCUGCUGUCGCUCCUCCUUUCCAGGUGGCAUGUCCUCGCUCGACGAGGCCCACGUGUGGGUGCCCUUGGUGGUCCUAGCCCGGGAUGGCUCCGUGAAGGGGGCCAGAUCCCACCCUCCAUACUCCACAUCCACGGGAGACCUGUGUCCUGCUUCCAGGUGCGCAUUGGAGCCCCCAGACCCACGGGAAAAUCACUGCAGACAGUUGCUCAUGGCAGAUUCCAUGUGAUGAGCAAGGGAUCUCUGGGCUGAGCCUGUCAGAAAGGAACUAGGGGAGGAAGACGUUGUUUAAAGAAAUAAGAGGUGACAAGUUCAGUGGAGAGAAGGCCCUGUUGCCAGGACAGCCACUCCACAGAGGUACACUUCUGAGGAUGACUCGGUGGCCUCUGUGGAUUCCGGGGGCAGGACUGUGGGGCAUGCUCAAUAUCUGGAAGGAUUCUGGCCGUGGAAAGUCCCUCUCCCCUCCACAAUGUUUAGAUUGAAUGGAAACAAAGCGGCUCCACUGAACACCCACGAAAUCUUAAGACGUUGCCUGCUUCAUGGAUUUCUCUUGGUCAUGAAUGAAAAGCAGGUUGGUGAGUGAACACCUUCCCUGAGGCCCUUCAGUCCUCUACCCCUGCCCAGGGGAUGGAUGAGCAGACACGAACAAAGGUGGGAUCUUCAGGAACGAGGAGAGGGUAUAGGAAGAGAGAGGGGACUUUAGCGAGG
Molecule: long non-coding RNA, 1005 nt
Filed under: Homo sapiens (human)
Lineage: Eukaryota; Metazoa; Chordata; Mammalia; Primates; Hominidae
Description: HSALNT0027502
Source: RNAcentral